RNAcentral lists this transfer-messenger RNA (358 nucleotides) under Candidatus Saccharimonadota bacterium. It matches the Rfam family "transfer-messenger RNA". Rfam says of the family: Bacterial tmRNA, also known as 10Sa RNA or SsrA, is named for its dual tRNA and mRNA-like properties. Its role is to liberate the mRNA from a stalled ribosome. Lineage: Bacteria; Candidatus Saccharimonadota. The record is from RNAcentral.
GGGGCUGAUUAUAGCUUAGACGGAAUAUUAACAGUCAUAAGGCGCGUCGAUUAAAUACCGUAAGUAUUAAUAAGUGCUAAAAACACAAAAACUGCGCAUGUCAUGUACAUGCCAGCUUAUGCCUAAUUAUUAUUUCUAGGCUGGUCUUGGUGUAAGUUUCCGUAGCAUCAGGAUUAUCAUAGAACGGAAAUAAGGUUGCUUAAUUGGCGAGAAUCAACACGAAAAUUUAGCCAUGGCAUUCGUUAGUUUUGUUUCUUGCAGCUAACGAUCUCCGCUAAGACAAAACAAGAGACUAUACGCGUAGAAUUGUGACCCAGUGAUAAUUCGGACCCGGAGGCAGUAUCCGGCAGCUCCACCA